AGAGUUUGAUCCUGGCUCAGGACGAACGCUGGCGGCGUGCCUAACACAUGCAAGUCGAACGGAGAUGUUGAUUUCGGUUGACAUCUUAGUGGCGCACGGGUGAGUAACACGUGAAUAACCUGACCCAAAGAGGGGGAUAACAUCUGGAAACAGGUGCUAAUACCGCAUAAGACCACAAUGCCGCAUGGCGAAGGGGUCAAAGAGGAUCGCUUUGGGAGGGGUUCGCGUCCCAUUAGGUAGUAGGCGGGGUAAAGGCCCACCUAGCCGACGAUGGGUAGCCGAGCUGAGAGGCUGAUCGGCCACACUGGAACUGAGACACGGUCCAGACUCCUACGGGAGGCAGCAGUGGGGAAUAUUGGGCAAUGGGCGCAAGCCUGACCCAGCAACGCCGCGUGAGGGAAGAAGGUUUUCGGAUUGUAAACCUCUGUCGCAGAAGACGAAGGAAGUGACGGUAAUCUGUGAGGAAGCCCCGGCUAACUACGUGCCAGCAGCCGCGGUAAUACGUAGGGGGCGAGCGUUGUCCGGAAUUACUGGGCGUAAAGGGAGCGUAGGCGGUUAAUUAAGUUAGAUGUGAAAUACCCGGGCUUAACUUGGGGGGUGCAUCUAAUACUGGUAUGCUUGAGUACAGGAGAGGAAAGCGGAAUUCCUAGUGUAGCGGUGAAAUGCGUAGAUAUUAGGAGGAACACCAGUGGCGAAGGCGGCUUUCUGGACUGUAACUGACGCUGAGGCACGAAAGCGUGGGGAGCAAACAGGAUUAGAUACCCUGGUAGUCCACGCUGUAAACGAUGGAUACUAGGUGUAGGGGCUAAAGUCUCUGUGCCGGAGUUAACGCAUUAAGUAUCCCGCCUGGGGAGUACGGCCGCAAGGCUGAAACUCAAAGGAAUUGACGGGGACCCGCACAAGCAGCGGAGCAUGUGGUUUAAUUCGAAGCAACGCGAAGAACCUUACCAGGGCUUGACAUCCCUCUGAAGUCAGCUAGAGAUAGCAGUCGUUACCCUUCGGGGUACAGAGGUGACAGGUGGUGCAUGGUUGUCGUCAGCUCGUGUCGUGAGAUGUUGGGUUAAGUCCCGCAACGAGCGCAACCCUUAUUCUUAGUUGCCAACACUUAGGGUGGGGACUCUAAGGAGACCGCCGGGGAUAACUCGGAGGAAGGUGGGGAUGACGUCAAAUCAUCAUGCCCCUUAUGUCCUGGGCUACACACGUGCUACAAUGGCCUGUAACAGAGGGUAGCGAAGGCGUAAGCUGGAGCCAAUCCCAGAAACCAGGUCUCAGUUCGGAUUGUGGGCUGCAACUCGCCCACAUGAAGCAGGAGUUGCUAGUAAUCGCGGAUCAGAAUGCCGCGGUGAAUACGUUCCCGGGUCUUGUACACACCGCCCGUCACACCAUGGAAGUCAGGGGCACCCGAAGCCGGUGGCCAAACCGUAAGGAAGGAGCCGUCGAAGGUGAACUUGAUGACUGGGGUGAAGUCGUAACAAGGUA
Molecule: ribosomal RNA, 1479 nt
Filed under: uncultured bacterium
Lineage: Bacteria
Description: bacterial SSU rRNA
Rfam family: Bacterial small subunit ribosomal RNA
Source: RNAcentral